GAGCGGUAGAGAGAAGCUUGCUUCUCUUGAGAGCGGCGGACGGGUGAGUAAUGCCUAGGAAUCUGCCUGGUAGUGGGGGAUAACGCUCGGAAACGGACGCUAAUACCGCAUACGUCCUACGGGAGAAAGCAGGGGACCUUCGGGCCUUGCGCUAUCAGAUGAGCCUAGGUCGGAUUAGCUAGUUGGUGAGGUAAUGGCUCACCAAGGCGACGAUCCGUAACUGGUCUGAGAGGAUGAUCAGUCACACUGGAACUGAGACACGGUCCAGACUCCUACGGGAGGCAGCAGUGGGGAAUAUUGGACAAUGGGCGAAAGCCUGAUCCAGCCAUGCCGCGUGUGUGAAGAAGGUCUUCGGAUUGUAAAGCACUUUAAGUUGGGAGGAAGGGCAGUAACCUAAUACGUUAUUGUUUUGACGUUACCGACAGAAUAAGCACCGGCUAACUCUGUGCCAGCAGCCGCGGUAAUACAGAGGGUGCAAGCGUUAAUCGGAAUUACUGGGCGUAAAGCGCGCGUAGGUGGUUUGUUAAGUUGAAUGUGAAAUCCCCGGGCUCAACCUGGGAACUGCAUCCAAAACUGGCAAGCUAGAGUAGGGCAGAGGGUGGUGGAAUUUCCUGUGUAGCGGUGAAAUGCGUAGAUAUAGGAAGGAACACCAGUGGCGAAGGCGACCACCUGGGCUCAUACUGACACUGAGGUGCGAAAGCGUGGGGAGCAAACAGGAUUAGAUACCCUGGUAGUCCACGCCGUAAACGAUGUCAACUAGCCGUUGGAAUCCUUGAGAUUUUAGUGGCGCAGCUAACGCAUUAAGUUGACCGCCUGGGGAGUACGGCCGCAAGGUUAAAACUCAAAUGAAUUGA
Molecule: ribosomal RNA, 854 nt
Filed under: Pseudomonas viridiflava
Lineage: Bacteria; Pseudomonadati; Pseudomonadota; Gammaproteobacteria; Pseudomonadales; Pseudomonadaceae
Description: bacterial SSU rRNA
Rfam family: Bacterial small subunit ribosomal RNA
Source: RNAcentral